AUGAGCCUCCUCCUCCCCACGAGAUCCCUUCUGCUCGAGUCACCGAGGAGCACCUUCCCCUCCCCGUCCCCAAAGGCAGCUCCCGCACUCAACCCUAACCCUAGACCGCCCGCCCGCCCACCCCCACUGCCUCGAGGCUUGAGCCCGCCCGCGCUGAUGGAGCCCAAGCAGCCGGCGGCCAACCUCGCCGCCGCCGCCGCCGCCGAGCCGGAGGAGGACGAGGCGGACGAGGAGAUGGAGGACGCGCUGCUGGACCGCGCGCAUGCCCUCAUCUCCCGCGCCGUCGAGCAGGAGGCCAACCCCAACCCGCCGCACGGCGACUCCUCGCGCUCCAGCCGCCGCGUCCCUCAACGUCAGGGCAACAUGACCAUCGCAGCCAAGGCUGGAGUCACGUUGGAAAUCCCAAACGGGGCUGUGCUCGAGAACAAGAGGCUCACAGUUAAACAAGAAGGCCAGGCUCCAGCCAGUGAUGUUGAGGCUGCCUAUACAACACAGACCCAUGCCACUUACAAUCACGGAGUGUAG
RNAcentral lists this ribosomal RNA (525 nucleotides) under Triticum aestivum (bread wheat). RNAcentral describes it as "partial small subunit ribosomal RNA". Lineage: Eukaryota; Viridiplantae; Streptophyta; Magnoliopsida; Poales; Poaceae. The record is from RNAcentral.